Molecule: long non-coding RNA, 792 nt
Organism: Piliocolobus tephrosceles (Ugandan red Colobus)
Lineage: Eukaryota; Metazoa; Chordata; Mammalia; Primates; Cercopithecidae
Exons: 4
Source: RefSeq, a predicted model, not a curated record
CCGGAACCUGAGGAUACUCUGGCUGCCGGCAGGGCGACGGUGCUGGCUCGGGAUUAUGGUUGAAGAGUUGGAAUGACAAUAAAUCGGGAUGAACCAGAGUGAUACAGGAAAAACUUCGAAUAAGCCCACAUGUUCUUUAAGAAAAGAAGCAGUGGUGUCCUGGGUCCAAAAGUGAGGAAAUACCAGACAUGCCAAAAGGAGACUCAUCUUGAAUGGACCAUGAAUACAACUUUAAUAUGGACCCUUCUGUUUCAAUGGAAUAUAUAACUUCUUUUAAUUACCUUUUCCUCCCACAAUUCCUAUUACAUGACUGCCAAUCUAAAAAUUAUGGGAAAUGCUUUUGUGGUUUUAUUAAGAUUAAUGGACCCUUUACCCCCCUUUAUGAGGCUUUCAACUGGUACUUUAAUUCUAAGGGAAUAUACCCACCAGUUCUGGGAUGUCUGCCCUAGGAGAUUAACUAGUGGUUGACUUCUUACUAUACAUAUUCCAUUAGUUUAUAAUUGGCCAGAUUAUUUCACAUUAUUUUCUAACACUUGAAAGCAAAAGGGGAAAGAAAAAUCCCCAGAAAGCACCAAAUUGCUAUUUCUAAGUGUCCAAGUGCAAUUUUAAAUCAUAGUUGAGUUUGAUCAAUUUAUUGCAACCCUGAAUCUCAAGUUGACUUUAAACUUGCCUUUUCAUCAAGUUAACCACAACACAGAAUCAGGAAAGAAGUAGGCAUUUGCUGUUAUAUCCCUUCUUAUUGAUACAAAAUGCUACUCAAUUUCGUAACUCCCUAGUGCACUCUUAGCAGUC